GGGAGGUCGGCGGCGGACGGGCGCCUCGCCAACCCGGUCAGGUCCGGAAGGAAGCAGCCGCAACGAGUUUCCGCCCGGGUCGUCCGUUCGGCCUCCCACU
This 100-nucleotide signal recognition particle RNA is filed under the name Alphaproteobacteria bacterium. Its description in RNAcentral is "signal recognition particle sRNA small type". It matches the Rfam family "Bacterial small signal recognition particle RNA". From Rfam's summary of the family: The signal recognition particle (SRP) is a universally conserved ribonucleoprotein involved in the co-translational targeting of proteins to membranes. Archaeal SRP consists of a 7S RNA and homologues of the eukaryotic SRP19 and SRP54 proteins. The record is from RNAcentral. Lineage: Bacteria; Pseudomonadati; Pseudomonadota; Alphaproteobacteria.